Molecule: ribosomal RNA, 1385 nt
Filed under: uncultured bacterium
Lineage: Bacteria
Description: 16S ribosomal RNA
Rfam family: Bacterial small subunit ribosomal RNA
Source: RNAcentral
UUCGCCCUUAGAGUUUGAUCCUGGCUCAAGACGAACGCUGGCGGCGUGCCUAACACAUGCAAGUCGAGCGAGAAAGUUUCCUUCGGGAGAUGAGUACAGCGGCGGACGGGUGAGUAACACGUGAACAACCUGCCCUUGAGACAGGGAUAACAGCGGGAAACCGUUGCUAAUACCUGAUAAUCUAAUUUUAUCGCAUGAUGGGAUUAGGAAAGGAUUAAUCGCUCAAGGAUGGGUUCGCGUCCCAUUAGCUAGUUGGUGGGGUAAAGGCCUACCAAGGCGACGAUGGGUAGCCGGCCUGAGAGGGUGUCCGGCCACACUGGAACUGAGACACGGUCCAGACUCCUACGGGAGGCAGCAGUGGGGAAUUUUGCGCAAUGGGGGAAACCCUGACGCAGCGACGCCGCGUGAGCGAAGAAGGUUUUCGGAUCGUAAAGCUCUGUCACAGGGGAAGAUAAUGACGGUACUGUGCGAAUAAGUCCCGGCUAACUACGUGCCAGCAGCCGCGGUAACACGUAGGGGACGAGCGUUGUCCGGAAUUACUGGGCGUAAAGGGCGCGCAGGCUGCGUUACAAGUCAGCUGUUAAAUGCAUGGGCUUACCCCAUGAGUGCGGUUGAAACUGUAGUGCUAGAGUACUGUAGAGGCAAGCGGAAUUCCCAGUGUAGCGGUGAAAUGCGUAGAUAUCUGGAGGAACACCAGUGGCGAAGGCGGCCUCCUGGACCAUUCCUGACACUCAGACGCGAAAGCUAGGGUAGCAAACGGAAUUAGAGACUCCGGUAGUCCUAGCCCUAAACGAUGCAGACUAGGCGUCGGCGGUUUAAUCACCGUCGGUGUCCAAGCUAACGCGAUAAGUCUGCCGCCUGAGGACUACGGCCGCAAGGCUAAAACUCAAAGGAAUUGACGGGUCCCCGCACAAGCAGCGGAGCGUGUGGUUUAAUUCGAUGCUCCGCGAAGAACCUUACCUGGGUUUGACAUAACAGUGGUAGAGAAGUGAAAACGGAUCGACCCUUCGGGGAGCUGUUACAGGUGUUGCAUGCCUGUCGUCAGCUCGUGUCGUGAGAUGUUCGGUUAAGUCCGGCAACGAGCGCAACCCGUGCCGCCAGUUACCAUCAAGUAGUGUUGGGGACUCUGGCGGGACUGCCCGUGUCAAGCGGGAGGAAGGCGCGGAUGAUGUCAAGUCCGUAUGGCUCUUACACCUGGGGCUGCAAACGUGCUACAAUGGCAGGCACAGUGGGCAGCGACGCCGCGAGGCCGAGCAAACCCUUAAAACCUGCCCCAGUUCGGAUUGCAGCCUGCAACUCGGCUGCAUGAAGUCGGAAUCGCUAGUAAUCGUAGAUCAGAACGCUACGGUGAAUACGUUCUCGAGGUUUGCACACACCGCCCGUCA